RNAcentral lists this ribosomal RNA (712 nucleotides) under uncultured archaeon. Its description in RNAcentral is "bacterial SSU rRNA". It matches the Rfam family "Archaeal small subunit ribosomal RNA", at positions 142 to 859 of the family's 1478-position model. The record is from RNAcentral.
UGGGAUAAUACCCCAUAGACUAUGGAUGCUGGAAUGCUCUGUAGCCGAAAGGUCCGCCGCCAUAGGAUGAGUCUGCGGCCGAUUAGGUUGUUGUUGGGGUAACGGCCCAACAAGCCUGUAAUCGGUACGGGUUGUGGGAGCAAGAGCCCGGAGAUGGAUUCUGAGACACGAAUCCAGGCCCUACGGGGCGCGGCAGGCGCGAAAACUUUGCAAUGCGGGAAACCGUGACAAGGGAACUCCGAGUGCCCGUAAAUUCGGGCUGUCCAUCAGUUUAAAAAACUGGUGAAGAAAGGGCCGGGCAAGACCGGUGCCAGCCGCCGCGGUAAUACCGGCGGCUCGAGUGGUGGCCACUAUUACUGGGCUUAAAGCGUCCGUAGCUGGUCUGUUAAGUCUCUGGGGAAAUCUACCGGCUUAACCGGUAGGCGUCUCAGGGAUACUGGCAGACUAGGGACCGGGAGAGGUGAGGGGUACUCCAGGGGUAGGAGUGAAAUCCUGUAAUCCUUGGGGGACCACCUGUGGCGAAGGCGCCUCACCAGAACGGCUCCGACAGUGAGGGACGAAAGCUGGGGGAGCAAACCGGAUUAGAUACCCGGGUAGUCCCAGCUGUAAACGAUGCGCGUUAGGUGUAUCGGUGACCACGAGUCACCGAGGUGCCGAAGGGAAACCGUGAAACGUGCCGCCUGGGAAGUACGGUCGCAAGGCUGAAACUUAA